UACGAAGGGGGCUAGCGUUGCUCGGAAUGACUGGGCGUAAAGGGCGCGUAGGCGGUAUGGACAGUCAGAUGUGAAAUUCCUGGGCUUAACCUGGGGGCUGCAUUUGAUACGUCCAAACUAGAGUGUGAGAGAGGGUUGUGGAAUUCCCAGUGUAGAGGUGAAAUUCGUAGAUAUUGGGAAGAACACCGGUGGCGAAGGCGGCAACCUGGCUCAUAACUGACGCUGAGGCGCGAAAGCGUGGGGAGCAAAC
This 250-nucleotide ribosomal RNA is filed under the name uncultured bacterium. Its description in RNAcentral is "partial 16S ribosomal RNA". It matches the Rfam family "Bacterial small subunit ribosomal RNA", at positions 524 to 773 of the family's 1533-position model. The record is from RNAcentral.